GAUGGACCCGCGGUGCAUUAGCUAGUUGGCGAGGUAACGGCUCACCAAGGCAACGAUGCAUAGCCGACCUGAGAGGGUGAUCGGCCACAUUGGGACUGAGACACGGCCCAAACUCCUACGGGAGGCAGCAGUAGGGAAUCUUCGGCAAUGGACGAAAGUCUGACCGAGCAACGCCGCGUGAGUGAAGAAGGUUUUCGGAUCGUAAAACUCUGUUGUUAGAGAAGAACAAGGAUGAGAGUAAAAUGUUCAUCCCUUGACGGUAUCUAACCAGAAAGCCACGGCUAACUACGUGCCAGCAGCCGCGGUAAUACGUAGGUGGCAAGCGUUGUCCGGAUUUAUUGGGCGUAAAGCGAGCGCAGGCGGUUUCUUAAGUCUGAUGUGAAAGCCCCCGGCUCAACCGGGGAGGGUCAUUGGAAACUGGGAAACUUGAGUGCAGAAGAGGAGAGUGGAAUUCCAUGUGUAGCGGUGAAAUGCGUAGAUAUAUGGAGGAACACCAGUGGCGAAGGCGGCUCUCUGGUCUGUAACUGACGCUGAGGCUCGAAAGCGUGGGGAGCAAACAGGAUUAGAUACCCUGGUAGUCCACGCC
This 586-nucleotide ribosomal RNA is filed under the name uncultured bacterium. RNAcentral's name for it is "bacterial SSU rRNA". It matches the Rfam family "Bacterial small subunit ribosomal RNA", at positions 224 to 801 of the family's 1533-position model. The record is from RNAcentral.